This is a long non-coding RNA of Mus pahari (shrew mouse), 304 nucleotides long. RefSeq lists it as uncharacterized. The transcript has 2 exons. The record is from RefSeq and is a predicted model, not a curated record. Lineage: Eukaryota; Metazoa; Chordata; Mammalia; Rodentia; Muridae.
ACCCCUGGCUGCCCACUGACUCCCACCCAGCCUCCCAUCUGCCUUUCCUUCCAGCAUUUGUGAAGCACAUCAUGGCCAGUUGAGCCUCUCAGGAAGCCCAGGGCAGGCCAAGCAUCUCCCAACCAUGAUGCUGACACCAUGUCUGGAGCUUCAGGAAGGAGUGGCUCGGACUUCUGCAGGUUGUCCUGGAUCACUCUGUGUGUGGUUGCCUUUCCUGGCCCCUGCUGGGAUGGGCUUGCCUACCUGUGAUUGCCUUUCUGUCUCCACCCUGUGGCCUUAAGAAUAAAUGGUUUCCUUCCUUCCA